ACAUGAUGCAUUUCUCUUGAUCCCAUUCUAACCUCUCAUUAAGGUAAGAUACCACAAACAGAAAUUUUCCAUGAAAAUCACUGUGAGAACCUGAUGGUAAGGGCAGAAAAGAAAUCCUACUGAUGUGAGCAAUGCUUAAGUGCCUUUACUAUGAAAGUAAUCUCUUUCACAUGCAACCACCUGCCCUGUGCACCUACAUCUUUGUAGGUCUAUCAGACAAGCAAGGGUCCCUGAGACAACUGUCUCCUUCAUUACAAAACCUUGGUUCUGGUCCAGGGUAGCCUGAGUAACAAGGAGCCCAACAGCCCCACCUAUAAUUAUGAAGCGAGCUUCCAAAUACAAUAUCAAACACAAAGGCUUAAGGAAUGUUAACUGCUGCAUGUAGGACAAGCUCAAGUUAAAGUACUGACAGAUUUAUUUGUUCCAGUUGAAAAACCAAACAACAUUCAAUAAAUUUUGUGUGUGUUAGUAGCAAACAGUAAUACUGCUACGGAGCACACACUGAGCCUCACAGUGUGAGGUUUCCUUGUUGGCCAUCUUCUGUGGAGAGCAGGUCUGCAUCAGAGAGAGCAGACACAGAGUGUCACCGGUCUUCUCAUUACAGCAGAGUGUCUCAUCUGAUAGCUGGUGCAGAGUCCCCGUGCUGUCAGAGGUGCCUGGAGCCACAGCAAGGCAAGGGCAAGAAGGAUCCCCAGGAGGGUGCUAAAUACACCUGGGCUGUGCCAUCGACACUGCCAGCAGUGCCACCCAGAUCACUGAGUCUGCCUACUGACAGCAGCAGGACCAGGAUUUCCUAA
This 797-nucleotide long non-coding RNA is filed under the name Cyanistes caeruleus (blue tit). RNAcentral's name for it is "lncRNA (ENSCCEG00000001988.1)". Lineage: Eukaryota; Metazoa; Chordata; Aves; Passeriformes; Paridae. The record is from RNAcentral.